UCUACUACCUCACUAUUAUAGUUUUACGAAGAAAUCUUAAAAGAGAAAGAUGGCAUUGGGUACUCGUGCCUGCAAUGCUAGUCGGUUCUUGAUUUUCUCAUUGCUUAUAUAUAUUUAUUACCUUUUCCAGUGUAGCUGAGUUUUUGGAUUUUUUUUUUCCCUUUCGGGGAAGGGUUACAACCAACUUCGUCCACAGGAUUGCAGGCCAAUAUGUACAUAUAGCUGCUCGGCGGCAUCCCACAAGAAGCCAUGCAUGCAUGUUUUUCUGUCUUCAAUGCUGUGCAAAAUGCUUGUGUGCGCCUCGGGCUCUUCCGGCAACAAACAAACUUGAUCUCGCUACAACAAUUUCAAGAAUAAGAACGGAAGUCCCAAUUGCCCUUAAUUUUUGUAGCCUACAAAGCGAGAAAGAUGAAGAAGGUGGAAGAGAGGAGUCCCUAGCCUUCCUUUUUUUUUUUUUUUUUUUUGUUUUCCAUCUUACAAACUUGGCUUCUCUCCGGUGGAUUUCCACUCCAUUUCUCGUAGUACACAUAUGGAUGCAUGACAUGUGUCUUUAUUUAUUAACAUGGAUUAGGAUUAGUCAAAUUUAAAAUGAUCAUGUCCCUUUCUAAUAAAUGAAAACACAUGUCAUGCGUUCAGAUAUAUAUUGUGAAAAAUGAAGAGAGAAUCCACUAAAAAAAAGCCAAAUCAGUCUACCCCUCUUAUUAAGAUUGUAGAAUGUUCUUGCAAAUUAUGACCUUUGUCUGGAAUGUGAGUAAAUAUAUCAUGUCAAUUGCUUAAUGAACUUUGGCUGUCUUAUGUAGAGUUGAAUUAGGUUUUUUGGGUGUUCUAAUUGAAACACGUGAGUAUACUCCUUCCUUCUGGGGACAUUGAUCCAAAGCUCGAGUACGGUCCGUGCACUAUUUUUCUUCUCUACCAUGACGAAUCGAUUGAUUUUGAUGUAGACAUUGUUAAGCAAUGUGUCUCGCCCCAUGAAUUGCAGCCUGAGCUCUCAGAUGCAGAACACCAAGAGAGCAGGAGAUUUUCGAACUCAAUUUGUCUGAACUCGACGUCAAUUGCCCGUACCAAACUACUGUUGUUAUCGCCUCGAGACGUCACGUCUGUUGGGUUCAUCGUCUUUCUUU
Coffea arabica (coffee) is the source of this 1121-nucleotide non-coding RNA. NCBI's taxonomy places the organism in Eukaryota, Viridiplantae, Streptophyta, Magnoliopsida, Gentianales, Rubiaceae. The record is from RefSeq and is a predicted model, not a curated record.